GACGAACGCUGGCGGCGUGCCUAAUACAUGCAAGUAGAACGCUGAAGGAGGAGCUUGCUCUUCUGGAUGAGUUGCGAACGGGUGAGUAACGCGUAGGUAACCUGCCUGGUAGCGGGGGAUAACUAUUGGAAACGAUAGCUAAUACCGCAUAACAUUGACUAUUGCAUGAUAGUCAAUUGAAAGGUGCAAAUGCACCACUAUCAGAUGGACCUGCGUUGUAUUAGCUAGUUGGUGGGGUAACGGCUCACCAAGGCGACGAUACAUAGCCGACCUGAGAGGGUGAUCGGCCACACUGGGACUGAGACACGGCCCAGACUCCUACGGGAGGCAGCAGUAGGGAAUCUUCGGCAAUGGACGGAAGUCUGACCGAGCAACGCCGCGUGAGUGAAGAAGGUUUUCGGAUCGUAAAGCUCUGUUGUAAGAGAAGAACGAGUGUGAGAGUGGAAAGUUCACA
RNAcentral lists this ribosomal RNA (454 nucleotides) under Streptococcus cristatus. RNAcentral describes it as "bacterial SSU rRNA". It matches the Rfam family "Bacterial small subunit ribosomal RNA", at positions 28 to 468 of the family's 1533-position model. The record is from RNAcentral. Lineage: Bacteria; Bacillati; Bacillota; Bacilli; Lactobacillales; Streptococcaceae.